RNAcentral lists this ribosomal RNA (497 nucleotides) under uncultured bacterium. RNAcentral's name for it is "partial 16S ribosomal RNA". It matches the Rfam family "Bacterial small subunit ribosomal RNA", at positions 28 to 507 of the family's 1533-position model. The record is from RNAcentral.
GAUGAACGCUGGCGGCGUGCCUAAUACAUGCAAGUCGAGCGAACGGACGAGAAGCUUGCUUCUCUGAUGUUAGCGGCGGACGGGUGAGUAACACGUGGAUAAACUACCUAUAAGACUGGGAUAACUUCGGGAAACCGGAGCUAAUACCGGAUGAUAUUUUGAACCGCAUGGUUCAAAAGUGAAAGACGGUCUUGCUGUCACUUAUAGAUGGACCCGCGCUGCAUUAGCUAGUUGGUAAGGUAACGGCUUACCAAGGCAACGAUGCAUAGCCGACCUGAGAGGGUGAUCGGCCACACUGGAACUGAGACACGGUCCAGACUCCUACAGGAGGCAGCAGUAGGGAAUCUUCCGCAAUGGGCGAAAGCCUGACGGAGCAACGCCGCGUGAGUGAUGAAGGUCUUCGGAUCGUAAAACUCUGUUAUUAGGGAAGAACAUAUGUGUAAGUACCUGUGCACAUCUUGACGGUACCGAGUCAGAAAGCCACGGCUAACUCCGUG